UACGUAGGGGGCGAGCGUUGUCCGAAUUUACUGGGCGUAAAGCGCGCGUAGGCGGUCAUUUAAGUCUGAGGUGAAAGGUUCAGCGCUCAACGUGAACAGUGCCUUGGAUACUGGGUGACUUGAGUUCGGGAGGGGGCAGUGGAAUUCCAGGUGUAGCGGUGAAAUGCGUAGAUAUCUGGAGGAACACCGAUGGCGAAGGCAGCUGCCUGGCCCAGAACUGACGCUGAGGUGCGAAAGCGUGGGGAGCAAACAGG
RNAcentral lists this ribosomal RNA (254 nucleotides) under uncultured bacterium. RNAcentral describes it as "partial 16S ribosomal RNA". It matches the Rfam family "Bacterial small subunit ribosomal RNA", at positions 524 to 776 of the family's 1533-position model. The record is from RNAcentral.